RNA transcript from Haliotis rufescens (red abalone), 6777 nucleotides. It is a transcript of the gene named ADP-ribosylation factor GTPase-activating protein 2-like, with no coding region annotated. The transcript is spliced from 16 exons. NCBI's taxonomy places the organism in Eukaryota, Metazoa, Mollusca, Gastropoda, Lepetellida, Haliotidae. The record is from RefSeq and is a predicted model, not a curated record.
UUUUCUUCUGCCUGUGUGUAUCCGGUCACGUGAGUUGAAAGGGAACGUCAUCAAAAUGGCAGAACAGCCUUGUAAAGCCGAUAUUAAUGCAAUUUUCAAGCGUUUAAGGUCGAUACCGACCAACAAACAAUGUUUUGACUGCAGUCAUAGCAACCCAACAUGGGCCAGUGUUACAUACGGGGUGUUCCUGUGCAUCGACUGUUCAGCUGUCCACCGGUCACUAGGGGUGCAUGUGACAUUCAUCAGGUCCACACAGCUGGACACCAGCUGGACCUGGCUUCAAAUGCGGGCCAUGCAAGUUGGAGGCAAUGCCAAUGCAAUCUCGUACUUCCGCCAACAUGGUUGUGACACAAAUGAUGCACAGAAGAAGUAUAACAGUCGUGCUGCGAUGAUGUACAAGGAGAAGCUACUCGGACUCUCCCAGCAUGCAUGCAGGUUGCACGGCACUAAGCUGCACCUGGAAGAAAAAGGAGACUCUAGCAAGAAGCUUCACAUCGAUGGAGGUCAUGCUGAGCCAUCACCAGACACCAAGGAAGUGGACUUUUUCCGGGAGCAUACAGAGUUUGACUCUAGGGCCAACCAGCCCAGCCCCAUCACUGAGGGAGCUAGACUGUACUCCGAGCCCCAGCCCAUCAAGAAUGGCGCACUCAACAGCAAAGCUGCAGAGAUAGACCCUAAUGAAGGACCCAAUGUUGAGGCUGCCCUGAGCAUGUCCCCCACCCAGGCUGCUGCUAUUGCUGAACCCAGGAAGGCAAUCAUUGGGGGCAAGAAGAGUGCUGCCGCUAAGAAGGGGAAGGGUUUUGGUGCCCAGCGUGUGAAGACAAACUUCAGCGAAAUAGAGAACCGUGCCCAGCAGCUGGACAAGGAGAGAGAGGAGUUGGCCAAGGCUACAGCAGUGCAGGAGGCUCGCACAAAGGAGGAGCAGGACAAACAGAUGGCUAACAUGAGACUGGCCUACAAGGACAUGAGUAUACAGAGGCAGAAACAGGAGGAGAAGCUAAAGGCAGCCGACCCCAAGAAGGCCGAGCAGUUCGAGAGGCUGGGCAUGGGAUUUGCUGGUAGCAAGGGCAUCAGUCACUCUGCCAUCUCAGACAUGCAGACUAUACAGCAGGAGGGCGUCAAGGAGACAAGAAAUGAGCGCAACAACCGACGCCGGGACUUCUUUGAUGAGGAGAUGGAUAUGAUGGGAGGCCGAUUCUCCUCUGGUUCCAGUUCCAGAUACGGAGACAGGUACGAUGACCACUAUGGUUCAAAGCGAGAUGACUUCGGCAGCUGGGGCAAUCCUAACAAAGGCGGCAGUUGGGACAUCGACAGGUUCGAUAGCAAGUCCAGCAGUUCAGACAAGUUCUCUUCCAAGGAUGAAGACAGCUAUCAUAACGAAGAUGACGAGGAGAAUGGGCCUCAGAGGAGCAGCAAGAAGACAUACAGUGAAACAUCCUCAUCCUCAUCCUCGGCGGAUGCCCAGAAAAGAUUUGGUAAUUCCAAGGCCAUAUCCUCCGACCAGUAUUUCGGCAAUAAAGAUAUGGAUUUCGAAGUGCGCCAAAAUCUGAGCCGCCUUGAUGGGAAGACUGGUAUAUCUAGUGACGAUGUGUUCGGGAGGUCGGACAAGGGGUCCUCCCGAGGGGGAUCCAGCUCGCAGUACUACGCCUCCCCGGACCUCCAGGACAUCCGAGAUGGAGUGAAGCAAGGAGUCACCAAAGUUGCCGGCAAAAUAUCCAAUCUAGCAAAUGGUGUUUUAAGUUCAUUGCAGCGAAAAUAACACAUCACUAAUAUUAAGUGGUGAAGCCAGAUUCCCCCCGAGUGUGAUCCUGGUGGUGUCAAAGUGGAUCGCUAUGGGAGUUAACCGAUGUUGAAGCUAAGCCAGGAAUGUGUUUCAUGCCUGCCAGGGACAACAGUAGUACUGACAGACAUUGGUGUUCACCUGACAGCACUCUCACCCAGUGCAGGAAGGUGGAGGCAGGGUUCUCUCCCUUAGAUCAGAAUAGUCACAUGACACUCAUCCAUUUCACCAAUCGGAAACGCCAGUCACGUUCAAGUUUAUGCUCAGUUAAUAAAAGCUCACGAAAAGGGUAAAAUCUGCUUAAAGUGAUAAUGAAAGACUAGUAAAGGGAAAGGGUAAAAUCUGUUAAAGAUAGAGAUACGAAAGCCUGGGCGUGUCGAGGCUUGGAAUAUAGGGCAACUUUGAAUGUUUUACUACAAGGAGAGUAUCAGUGAGGACUGCAUUCACUACUAUUUCAUUGGUUAAAAAUUCCUAAAUGUUACCCCUUGUUGAAGUGAACCAAGAAUAGCUUUGCUGUACUUCACAUGUGUAGCGGUGUGCACCACAGAGCUUUGAAUGUCUUGCAAGCCAGAGGCUAGUAAACAAUUAACAGAAGUUCUAUUUUAAUCUUUUUUUUAUUUAUGCUGUUAAUAUCACUGGACAUUUUUACCAAAUAUGCAUACAGCGAUAAUUUCAUGCAUUUUAACACAAAAUUACCAUUUGAUGCAUAUGUUGAUGAAUGAGCACAUAUUCAAAGUAGGGAAGUUCUGGUGGAAAAGCAGCUUCUUUCUUACAAUUGUGUUGUUCAGUCAUAAGAAUGUGUCCACUAUUUAUCACGUCGUCUAAGGCGCCACGAUUGGCUGUGCAGAGUUGCGUCCCUUGGGCACACCAGAAAUCUAUGAUUGUGGGUUCGAAUCCCUAUUCACCCCGAUUUGUCAACACAAUACCCGUGCUCGUGGGUUUCACCGAAGUGGUAAACGUCUGUGACCUGCAUCACUUCUGGCUUUCCUCCCACAUUAAGCUGUGAUAGUAACUUGAAUACUGUAAAAAAAAAUGGAUAAAACCCAACUUAAAACAUGUUAGAAGUGAAAGUGUUAGUGUAAUAUCUGAAGGGCUGCUUGUAUCUUCCUGGCUGUAAUGACUAGAACAUAACACAGCAGCUGUUUUGCACUCUAUAGUACCUCAUCAGUCGACCAAUUUCUACAGGAGAGAACCCACUGUUAAAACCUGCAAGUCAGCACUUCUCAUAUAGAGGAAUUCUGUGACCAGGAUUGGUGGAUCUAGACAGACAUUUCACCCACAAUCUUGUGAAGUUCAUUGUCAUCGCUUGAUGUGGCCAAGUUGUUGAAAUCGUGUUGUGUUGUUUAUGCAUUGUAAAUAUUGGGAUAGGAAUACAAUAUUUGAAUUCAUUUCAAAUGUGGAGAGAAUGGGUCUAUAUUAGCAUGUUGUUCACUGUUAUUUACAUGCUUUUCAAGUAUUGUUGUACAUAGUCUAACAUUGUAUGUUUCACAAAUGUUGCUGUUUGAAUUGUAUUUUAUCAACCCAAGAAGUAAAAUAUAUUUUCUGUUCAGCAGAGUUAUGUCACUGCCUGGACUUUCCUGCGUCUUGCCAGUUUUAUUUUGAGCGUUCUUUGGUGUUUCACAGCAACAUAGCAAGUAAUAUGUAUUAGGCUGUUUAAGAAUUUAAGUGUUUCUCAGGCGCUUUUUUCUCUUAAGUUAGGAGGUAGGACUUUUAAUUAUUUUUAUUUUUUAGAAAGUGAAGUGAUGCGGGAGGAACAAGAUUUAUCAAGAUCAAGAGGACCAACAAACACAACUGCGUACUCAAUUAACUGUGCUUGUUACCACAAUGUCUGUUGUCAUUCAUGGAUAACAGUCUGCUUCAUAUGAAAUUAGAAUAAGCUUUAUUGGCAAUAAAAAUUACCUGCGUAGGAUUUAAAUGAUGCGCAGAAGCCUGAGAAACGUUUCCUUUUUCUUUUUGCCUUAUGAUUAUCUUUAAGGGGAUUACGUGGUGGAGCUUAGUGAGAUUAGAAUACAAUUUGAAUAUGUACUACUCAAAAGAAGUUAAGGAACACUUGAUUCUUUCACAGUACAAUAGUUAAUCUAUCAUGGCUACAACAGUAAUAGGAAAGAAUCGGUUGUUGUGUAAGCGCUUUUGAGCAGUAUACAAUUUAUACAGACGAAAUUUUCAUCUCAUUCCUUGUUUGAAUGUGAGGAGAGGAAUUGAUAUUUGCAAAGCUAAUUGAUCGUGAGUGUUUGUGUGAUGGAGUGAGGGUCAUUAUUGAGGACAUGUUUUCCAUACAAGAGUAGGAAAGUGUAAGUCAAAUGACUACAAGUGAUGAAUUCCAUGUUAAAUUGUCCUGCAUAUAUAUAGCUUGACUCUCAGGGUGUGGGUAAUGCUGACUAUGGAAUGACAAUUGUAUUUUUGACAAAUCAUCUUGUUUGGGAGCUUUUGGGGCAUAUGAGAGUUGCUUCCCAUUGUCAUGCCAGGAUUUGCUGAUCGAGUCCCUUAGUCAUGCCGGAUCGCGAACAGAUCCCUGGCCUGUCGGCCUCAUACUCAUAGGUCAUCAAAGUGGUCGAUGUGUGAAACCUGCAUCACUUGGGGCUCCCCUUACUUUAAGCUGACAUGCCGUGAUAUAUGAAGUACUGUUCAAAGUGGAAUUACACCCAACUCCCUCAACAUGAGAGGUGAUUGAGGUCAUGAUGAAAAUUUGAAAUUGUAAAAAAUAAUUCUUUUGAUGCAGAUAUGUAGCUUUGGCAGUUCUUUCAAAACAGUAAACAUGUAUUUUCUGAAUAUAUUCCCAGACAGUUAAUCUGAUAGGUUCAUGUAUUAGCUUGCAUUUGUCAUUUUUGGAAACGAUUCACGAUUUUAACAUUCUGAGUUAGAAAAUUCCAAGUUUUCAACCCACUUACAUAGUUACAUCUAGUUUGUAAUUGAAUUUAGAUUUGCAUCUAUGUUGCUUGAGCAAUGAAAUAUUCAGAAUAUAUCUUUUGGUGUCUUUGUGUUUGAGAUAAUUACUUCCUCUUUCCUUUGUUUCACAGUGUAAUAGCUCCACUUCAUGUUUUAGUGGGUUUCCUUAGGCAUGAGAGGGAAGAAAAUAAAUGUGUAUGUUCACAUUGUGAGUAGAAGAAUGGGAGAAUUCAGUUUGCAUCCUAUUGGUCAACUGAUAAAACAGCAAGUGUUAUGAGGAAAGGAUGUUCAUUGAGAAAGCCUCAUUGUCAAAUGUCAUCUUCCUGAGGCAAGGGAGUUAACUGACUUUAAAGAUCCAGUUUCCAUCCAUGCCUAACUAGGCUGGAAUUAUGGAGUUAUGAUUUGACUGGAGUAACGAGUCUAUGCAUAGUCCAAUCAAAAUCCUGUAACGAAAACAACAAUCAGUUUUCAUAGGAGGGACAUAACUACAAUCCAACCUCAAAAUUCCAGCCUAGUUCGCUGAGGGUAGUAACUGGACUUUUAAAGUCAGCUAAUUCCCUUGCCUCAGGAAGAUGGUCAAAUGUAUAGUUAUGCUCACAAACGUAUUGGUCCAGAUUAGCCCUGAAAAGUACACUCAUUUUCAGUCACCUGCUUCCUUGCGUAUAUAAUCUUGUAAAUAUAUAAAUAUUCAUUGUUGAACAUUUUGGGGAUGUAGUUUGCGCUAGCUAAUGGUAUUCUUGGAUAUUACAUAGUAUCCUUGAUGUGGAUUUUCAUUUAAUAUGCUUCUAAGUUUUAGGUCAAUAUAAUUUUGUUCUUUGUCUCAUUUGAAAUCAGAAGUUUAAAUCUGUCAACUAAGAUAAUCAGAUUUGUGUUGUUGAUAGUAAAUUGGUAAAGUGGUCAUUUGUUCAGGGAUACACGUUUCCAUGCAAACCAUUGUCAUCGAGAAAGCAACAGUGAGCAGCCCUGAUGGAACAGAGUCCUAAUUGAACAGAAUUUUAGCAAACCUGUGAUGAACUUACAUGACAACUUUCUAGGGAAAUGGGUGUUGAUUAAUGGGACCAUCCCAACGACAAUCGAUUAUUCAAUUCUUUGUUCAUUUUUGUAGCCGUCCAUAAAAGAUAUUGUAGGUUGUACCCUUGGUGAUUAGCUACCGAUUUCUCCUUUAAGAAUAUAAACAUUGUCUUUUCUUCCUUAUGAGUCACUCGAUAUGCAAAUUCAAAAUGAAAAAUUGGAAAUGUUUUAAGUGAAUUUUUAUGUUGAUAAGUUGUUGUUUUUUAAGAUAAGUUAAUUUUGCAUACACCUUUUUCUUUUCAUGUUAAAAUAUUGCCAAAAAUAGAAGCGUGACAUAAUGUUGUUUGCACUUGGUGAAAAGAGAAUUCAGGUAGAACAUAUAACACUGAAAUACACAGAAGUCUCAUUUGUUUAUUUUGCAAUAUGUUUUUCAUCAAUUUUGAUUUUGUUCAUGUGUCAGUCUGCAUUUAUCCAUUUGACAAGCGCUAUAAAUGUUAUUGUUCGAUUUUAUUUACUAGUCAAAUAAACUGUGAUGUUAUUUUGUGUCUGGUUUAGACAGCUGAGAAUGUGCAAAUUAAGUAUCUCUGUAUACUGUCAGGUAGGGAUAUUUGAAAUACGAGACACCAUUUUCAGAUCCCAGCUAUGAGGGGAGACACCAGUAAGUAACAUUCAGUGCAAACGGUUUUAAACAUUGCUUCAUGUGAAUAUUUCAUUUCAUGUUUUGUCCUACUAAGAGCUCUUCUGUAAGUUUUAGGAAAGACGUGUGAGGGAUUGUUUCUAUUUAUCAAACUUAUACACUGGUCAACACAUGAAAGAAAACCUACAUCCCACUUAAUGGACACUACCAGCCUAGUAGUCCUUACAACAAUAAUGGCCUUGUGGUCAGUCACUGGUCAAGACUUGGGUACAAUGUGUGAUGGAGUACUCUGAUUAUGUUUUGUUUCUUGUGUAGAGCUGUAGUUAUCUGAUCUACCUUGUGUCAAUGCCAUCCACCUCGGGGCUCCAACUGUACAUAUAUAUAUAUAUCAUGCAUCCUCCUCGAUGGGAACUCGCGGAAAUAUACAUAUAAAAAAAAUAUAAAUAAAAAAUCAUUUACUUCA